ACAACGCUGGCGGCAGGCUAACACAUGCAGUCGAGCGCGCCUUCGGGCGAGCGGCGGACGGGUUAGUAACGCGUGGGAACGUGCCCAGAUCUACGGAAUAGCCACUGGAAACGGUGAGUAAUACCGUAUACGCCCUUCGGGGGAAAGAUUUAUCGGAUUUGGAUCGGCCCGCGUUAGAUUAGGUAGUUGGUGGGGUAACGGCCUACCAAGCCUACGAUCUAUAGCUGGUUUUAGAGGAUGAUCAGCAACACUGGGACUGAGACACGGCCCAGACUCCUACGGGAGGCAGCAGUGGGGAAUCUUGGACAAUGGGGGCAACCCUGAUCCAGCCAUGCCGCGUGAGUGAAGAAGGCCCUAGGGUCGUAAAACUCUUUCGCCUGUGAUGAUAAUGACAGUAGCAGGUAAAGAAACCCCGGCUAACUCCGUGCCAGCAGCCGCGGUAAUACGGAGGGGGUUCAGCGUUGUUCGGAAUUACUGGGCGUAAAGCGCACGUAGGCGGAUUAGAAAGUUAGAGGUGAAAUCCCAGGGGCUCAACCCUGGAACUGCCUUUAAAACCACUAGUCUAGAGUUCGAGAGAGGUGAGUGGAAUUCCGAGUGUAGAGGUGAACAUUCGUAGAUAUUCGGAGGAACACCAGUGGCGAAGGCGGUCACUGGCUCGAUACUGACGCUGAGGUGCG
This 677-nucleotide ribosomal RNA is filed under the name uncultured Alphaproteobacteria bacterium. RNAcentral's name for it is "bacterial SSU rRNA". It matches the Rfam family "Bacterial small subunit ribosomal RNA", at positions 29 to 755 of the family's 1533-position model. The record is from RNAcentral. Lineage: Bacteria; Pseudomonadati; Pseudomonadota; Alphaproteobacteria.